Molecule: non-coding RNA, 625 nt
Organism: Musa acuminata subsp. malaccensis (wild Malaysian banana)
Lineage: Eukaryota; Viridiplantae; Streptophyta; Magnoliopsida; Zingiberales; Musaceae
Source: RefSeq, a predicted model, not a curated record
GCAUACGAGAAAAGUCAUCUUGGCAAUGAGUGGAAAAAAACCCUUUGCUGGUUCUUCGCGUGCCAAUGAGGCAUAGAAGCUAAGCAGCCGAAUUCUGCUAUCCAAAAGUGUGCUAGAGUUCAGCUGAUAAAGAAUGGGAAGAAAAUUACAGCCUUUGUUCCAAAUGAUGGCUGCUUAAAUUUCAUAGAAGAAAACGUAAGUUGGGGUUUGGUUUGCCUAGAAAUUUCAUGUGCGAUUGAUGUCUCCAAAGACUGAUCUAGUGGACUUGUUAUCAAAGAUUUGAUGUUAGGAGACAUUACUGUGGUGGUCUUGCUCACACCUGUAUGCACCAGUCGACACCGGACGAGGUCUUGAUUGCUGGAUUUGGACGGAAAGGCCAUGCAGACGGUGACAUCCCCGGAGUACGGUUCAAGGUGGUGAAGGUUUGUGGUGUGUCCCUGUUGGCACUGUUCAAGGAAAAGGAGAAGCCUCGGUGUUGAGGCUUCGCUGAGUUUUCAGAUGAAUCGAUCGAACUGGCUUUCGAAGAGGUUUUGUGGUUAUGAAUCAUUGAAUGCCGAUCACCUAUUCGAUCUAUUAGAUCGGUUCCCUUCCAUUUUAGUCUCCUUUGAAGAACCCGGUAUUGAUA